GCUGGGCACAGUGGCACACACCUGUAGUCCCAGCCACUCAGGAGACUGAAGCGGAAGAAUCAACUUGAGCACUAUGCCAAUCAGGUGUCCACACUAAGUUCAGCAUCAAUAUGGUGACCUCCCAGGAGCAGGGGAACCACUAGGUUGCCUAAGGAGGCUGAACCAGCUCAAGUCAGAAAUGCAGCAGGUCAAAAUUCUUGUGCUGAUCAGCAGUGUGAUUGCACCUGUGAAUAGCCACUGCACGUGAGCCUAGGCAACU
Molecule: signal recognition particle RNA, 259 nt
Filed under: Prolemur simus (greater bamboo lemur)
Lineage: Eukaryota; Metazoa; Chordata; Mammalia; Primates; Lemuridae
Description: Metazoan signal recognition particle RNA (ENSPSMG00000008625.1)
Rfam family: Metazoan signal recognition particle RNA
About the family: The signal recognition particle (SRP) is a universally conserved ribonucleoprotein. It is involved in the co-translational targeting of proteins to membranes.
Source: RNAcentral